AAUUCAACUCAAACAACUCUAAAAAGAGCUGACAAGCAUCACACAAAAGAUCUGAAGAAAUCUGGAGUUAACAAUUCAACCUCUCAAUCUCUCCUAAGAUGAAGAAGUUGAGCAUUGCCUUUGCAGUGGCAAUUGCACUGGCCUUUAUUUGCAUUCAGGAGAGCUCUGCUGUCCCACUUUAUGGAGUGGAAGUGCAGGAGGAGGAAAAUUGGAGCAAAGAGCCUCCGCCUUUCUUCAUAGAUUCAUGGAGGAUGGCACAUAAAAGGUAUAAGCGCCACAGCGGCCCCAGAGACUGACGCUUUUGCUGCCACUGUUGCGUGCGGCCAGACCCUGGUUGUGGGAUGUGCUGCACCUGAGUAUUGACUCUGUCACAUCCUAUCCAUGGACUACAGAUGAAAAAAAAGCUUCUUGGCUAACUCAGUCAUGUUAACAGCAAAGUUUACAUGUGCACUGUCUCUGUCUCCAGUCUGGGAUUCCCACAGCUACUGUACAGCUAAAUAUUAAUCUGUUAUGCUUUUGUGUCAAAGCAGUUUUACCACUUUUAAUUGUACUUGUGGUUGGGAAUAUCUGAAUGUAUUUGAUGUGGAUUAAAUAUCUACAGAUUCUAACGUGUACUAUCACAAUAAAGUUUAAUUUUAGUAAUACCAAA
Molecule: long non-coding RNA, 649 nt
Organism: Scomber japonicus (chub mackerel)
Lineage: Eukaryota; Metazoa; Chordata; Actinopteri; Scombriformes; Scombridae
Exons: 3
Source: RefSeq, a predicted model, not a curated record